UUAUUAUGAAUGAUCUUACCAUGAACGCCUACAUGUGUUACAUGUUAGUUUAAGUGUCUGUUUAGUUCAUCAAUUUCAUUUGUCGAUUUAGCUAAAAUAGGCCAAUCAUCUCAAUGCAAAUAUGAUUAGGCUAGUUGAUAUCGCAGCUACCAUUACUGUGUAGAUAUGCCUAUUGCAUCAACACAAACGCAAGGGCUUCUUGGUAGCCUAGUGGUUAGCGUUGGGCCAUCAUCGUUAGAUUGCUAGAUUGAAUCCCAAAGCUGACAAUAAACUUUUUUUGUCGUUUUUCCCGAGUAAGGCAGUUAACCCACUGUUCCCUGAGCGAUGAAUAUGUGGAUUUCGAUCAAGGCAGCCCCCCGCACCUCCUCUGAUUCAGAGGGGUUGGGUUAAAUGCGGAAGACACAUUUCAGUUGAAUGUAUUCAGUUGUACAACUGAGUACAGUAGGUAUCCCCCUUUCAUUUUCUUUGUUGGGGGUAGUCUAGGUCUCUAGUGGGGCAUUCAAAACAACUCGGAAGUCAGUAACUUCUGAUCUUCCGACUUCAGUGCGUUCAAGACAACUGGGAACUCUGAAAAAAACGAGUUCAGACUGGGAUAAUUUGACCUCGUUUUCCCCCACUUCCCAGUUUACCGGAUUAACAGACACAAUGACUGUCAUCAUGCAAUCCUUCUACUAUAACUUUCUGUGGAGAUGUCUUAUGGUUAAAAGCAGGGUUCAUAUGUUUUCAUUUUAAACAGGCAGUCCCUUACCUACACUGAAAUAGUUUUUGCCCUCAAUUAUGAUUUAAAAAAAAUCAUAGCUCAUUAGUACACCCUUGUGGUUGUCUAUUGUAUGUCUUACGAUACAAUUAACAAUGUUGAAUGAACAAAUACCAUCAAGGGAUACGAUACAAUUUACAAUAACGAACACCUUAUGAAACAGCUGUGAAAACCAAUCUAGCAAUAUUUUACAUUUAAAUACAUAACCAUUGAUCUUUUUUGGUAGAUGUGUGUCGAUUUACUUUCAGAUUUUUUUGUAACUCACUUGGUAAUCAUAGACUGAAAUACAGAAUUCUGGUGUGGAAUAGAGAGGAGGUGGGUCUUGUGUGGAUGGGAGGUUCUGCCUGUCACUUGUUUUUCAACAGGUAGUGGACUCUAAGAGGGAAACUGCAGUCCAGGCACUGCUGCCCUCUUUGUUCUGAGUGUUUGCAGUGUUUUUAGCUAAUCCGUGCAGCUCACAUUAUGUGCCCAGUAUGAUAGUUGUCUUGCUCUUUCUAAGCAGAUAAUGACAACUUGACAAUAACAGUUGCUGAUGUAAUGAAAAGUUGGAGGGUGGUUGGUAAUGGAGGACAUCAGGUGGAUCCAUGUCUGGGUGUUGGGCAGGACCCCUAGGUCCUAGAGAACAGGAGCAGAGGAAAGGGAACAGGGUAGGAGGCAGACGUAAACAAGCAAACACACGUUAAAUGAUUAUCAGGUAUGUAAAAAUUGUUAUUGAAUGAUUGAAUUUAAUGUUUGAUGAGACAUGCAAUAAUGUUAAUGGCAGACAGAAAAGAAAGGAUAUCUGUCUAAUUUUUGAUGUCAUUGGGGUUGGUAAGGGAUGGUCCCUGAAAAAGAUAGAGAUGAGUUGUGAGAGAAACUCCAGGGUGGUAUCAUGACCACUGGAGUCAUACACCUUAACAGUACCUACCUGGAAGUGGCGGUUACUUAACGAGACCCAAUGGUUAGCCUUGAGACUGACUAUUUGGAGAAACCCCUGAGCCAGCGCUGGUAUUUCUGACAGCAUGGCUAUGCCGCCCAACACGAGGCAGCAAAUGCAAAUAGUUAUCUGAGAUUUUUAUAUUCACCUUAAUGGAUGUUGACCCCAGCUAGGAGCGAAAGAGCACCAAGCUUUCCCGGGUCUCGUCUUCCUUUCGUCCUUCUUCCAAGCCAAGUCAUUCACCUAGAUGUCGAAGUACUUGGUCCCCUUGAUUCUUCUCAGGUGGCUCUCCUCCUCAUGCGCCCUGUCCAUGUUCAGUCUCACCUUGAUAAAUAAUAUAAAUAAAUGCAAUUAUAUAUAUCUUGGAAGGCAAGAAAAUAAAUUAACAGCGGACAAUAAUUUUCACCUGGUCAAAAACCACCACAUCCUUCUCAGUCCGUGCCUGAAGGUGGUUUUCGAAGGCGUUCUGAUCUGGUUCAAAGUACGUUUAUACAAAAACAGCAAAAGAAAAACACUAAGUCAAUCAAAAAAAAAGUAUACUACAGUAUAUGCAAUAAUGUUAUAUACAUGCAUUGUUUAUGUCAGCUAACUGCUGCGGCUCCCCUCCAUAUAGCAGGCGAUAGAGUGAAUACUCUGGAGGCCUGGACACUGCUGUGUUGUGUGAAAAGAUAAUUACCUUCAGAUUGUCCUUCCACCUUUCCUGGUACCCGUCAAGGGACUUUCCCAUGGCAGUCCCGUUGGUCCGUUCAUCCAAAUGUGGAGUCACCAUACAUCGACACAUUCACAUUAUAUAUAAAACUCACUGUACUAUCAGUGUCAAUUUCGGGGGGAAAAAACUAAAUUACAGUACGCCUAUGCAAAACAAUGCUACUGUGAACUUCCUGGUCCCGUCCCUCUAGUCAGUGAUUCACCACAGGAAGGAGUAAUGGAUGUAUAGUUUAUUUAUUUAUAUAUUUGCAAAGCUGCAGUCCCACACGGUGAGCGAUAGAAAACCGAUCGUGCAAAUGUCACCAUUCCGAUUUUUUUUGUGCGGGAGCCCCGUGCCACCCCCGGCAAGAUGCCGCCCUGGGCGGCUGCCCAUGUCGCCAAUACCUAAAUCCGCCACUGUGUGUGUUUGCAAAUGAUGGAGUGAGUGUUUGUGUAUGUGUUUGAGUGACAGUCUGUGUGAGUGUCUAUGGUCCUGGGAGUGUGCAUAGAGACAGUACAAAUACUGAAAUAAUUGUCAAAGAUACAGGGUAAACAUGCUUUAUUCAGUAUAUGUGUGAGAUAGAGAGAGGGGGGAGAGAAAUGAUGAUUAGGAUCACAAUAACUUACAGAAAAGAUUGUCAUCAUGUCAACUUUGUCAUGCUAGGUGUGUGUGUGUGUGUGUGUGUGUGUGAGAGAGAUGGUACAUGAAUACACAAAACAUUGAUUGUUUGUGUGUGUAAGACAGUAAGCUAGGCAAAUUCUUGAAACUUGUACCCCCAAUAUGGAAGUAAAGAUUUUCUUGAUUCAUCAGAUCCUUGUAUUUUUGUGUAUUUUGUAUUUGAGAAUACCGUACAUUUUGCCUAUCUCUGCUCCCCCUUAACACACAUUCUAACGUUACACCUUUCAACAUCCUUUGUCAAUUCUUGAUUCUCUGUUUUUGCAGGAAUCUUCUUUCUUGGGUGGAAGGAUGGAGGAGUGAACAAAGAGGAGUACAGAUGUUAUCCAGCCUGCUGACUAAGAAAUAUCCUGAAUUAUGUCAAUGGCCUGAUUCAUUGCCUCUACAGCUGUGCUUGGCCACCCCCUGAGUUACCAGUGACCUAUUCUGCCACAUCCCAGGGAAAGGAGAGGGCAGAACCACCCCUCCUUAAAUCCAUACUCAUUGACAGUAAUAUUGAUGGUUGAUAUUCUGAUCUUCAAUGUGUAUAGAUUCCUACUAACCAGCUUUGUAAGAGCUACAGUAGGGUUGUACUAGCUAUGCUGAUGAUCAUGAUUUAUUUUUUUCCUCUGCAUCAGGUCUCACUGAGACUGGAUUCCCCAAGAGGCAUGCUGUUCAGCUGCCCAUGAUUGUUUAAACUUACACUCUUAAGUUCUAGAUACCAUCUUUUUUUUCUAAGUGUUCAUCUGCUGUCUCCAUAGGAGAACCCUUUGAAGAACCCUUUUUGGUUCCAGGUAUAACUAUUUUGGGUUCCAUGUAGAACCCCACAGGGUUCUACCUGGAACCAAAGAGGGUUAUCCUACGGGGACAGCCAAAGAACCCUUUUGGAACACUUUUUUCUAAGAGUGUAGUGUAAGUAGAUCCAAUUGAAAUAGCACUUCUAAUAAUAUAAGAUUGUAAAGCAAAUCAAAUCCAAUUUAACUCGCCUUUUUUGUCAGGUGCAAAACCCUUGUGUCCUGAUUCCACAGGUACCUACCUCCCUUGUUGAGUCAUGUAAAGUUUAUCCCAUUUCUCUUCUGCUCAUUCUCUAUGUCGCGCACUCCAGUGGAGGCUCCUCAGAGGAGGAAGGGGAGGGCCAUCCUUCCCUGUCAAUGAGGGGAUUGUGUCGCUGGAGCCAGGAGAAUCCCAAUAUCACGGGAACCUGAGGAGACUUAAUGAGCAGGAACUGGAUCGUCUCGCUGUGGUUCCCUGACACAUGACCUGAGCCCAAAGAUGAUGUCUCAGGUCUACCUGGCCUGAUGACUCCUGGCUGUCCAUAGUCCACCUGGUCGUGCUGCUCCAGUUUCAUCUGUUCUGCCUGCGGCUGGGAACCCUGACCUUUUCACCGGACGUGCUACCUUGUCCCAGACCUGCUGUUUUCAUCUCUCUCUCUCUACCGCACCUGCUGUCUCAACCUCUGAAUGCUUGUCUAUGAAAAGCCAACUGACAUUUACUCCUGAGGUACUGACCUGUCGCACCCUCUACAACCACUGAUUAUUGGUAGAUCCUCAUCAAGGACCUCUGAGGACAGAAUGCGAUCUGUAGCGUAGUAACCCUCUUGGAGAGUCAUGUGAUUGGUCAGAUCUGCAGUGAAGAGAAUCAGCCCAUUACAACUUUAUAAACACCUGCACAGGAUCGGUACAUCCGAACAUCACACCUGCGGGACAGGUACAGGAUGGCAACAACAACUUCCCGAGUUACACCAGGAACGCACAAUCCCUACAUCAGUGCUCAGACUGUCCGCAAUAGGCAGAGAGAGGCUGGACUGAGGGCAUGUAGGCCUGUUGUAAGGCAGGUCCUCACCAGACAUCACCAGCAACAAUGUCGCCUAUGGGCAUAAACCCACCGUCGCUGAACCAGACAGGACUGGCAAAAAGUGCUCUUC
Salmo salar (Atlantic salmon) is the source of this 4939-nucleotide non-coding RNA. The record is from RefSeq and is a predicted model, not a curated record. Lineage: Eukaryota; Metazoa; Chordata; Actinopteri; Salmoniformes; Salmonidae.